UUGUACGCCAAUGGAAUCCCAGACCCCUCCUCUUUCUUCUGCUUCAAAUGAACAAACCACAAAAGAAGAACUCAACAUUCAAUUUCAAACCCCAAAAUCUUCUUCUUCGUCUCCUUUUUCUGCAGUAGUAAAUAUUAGGCUAUGGAGGCCAGCAGCGCAGCGAAACCUUAGAAACCAAUGGUCGAAGUUGGCUUCUUUAUGGCAAGAUUGGCAGUCUUGCUCGUCCGCUACUCGCUCUCAAGCCACUACUCUUGUCAACUCCUAUCUCUCCCAGAAGUAUAUGGAUGCGAUGGAUUUGGGAAUUUUGAGUGGCAUGCUAAGUAUUCGGAAAAAAGCCUCUUCGAAGUUGUUUAAGCAACAAGUUAGUGUGUUUGCUAAAAACUUGGUUUCUUUUCUUUUAAACAGCUUUUAUUGAAAAUAGUGAUUGAGAUAGAGCCUUUGGUUGCUUUUGUGAAGAACUAACUUAGGAGAAAUUAGGUUUGGUUUUCGCAAAUUUGUGCUUGUUUAGAUGAAAUGGUCUAGACAAUGGUUAUAGUAGUAUCUGUAGAGUGCUGUUAUAGGAAAUUAUGUGUGAUCUGGUGUACAGUUAUCAAUUAAGGCUAUGUUUGGUUUGUUUAUGGGAAUUGGAUUUGCAUUGAAUUUGAUGUACUGUUAGUAAUGUGACUUGAGUAAUUCGGUCUAAUUUCAAUUCUCAUGUGGAACCAAAAUGCCCAGAAGGGUGCAUUCAAAAUUUGACAUUUUAUGCUUUGUAUAUGGGCUUGAAGGAACAGAGUUGAUGGUAAGAAAUUUUUGCACUUACCAGGAUUGCUUUGUUAAUUUAUCACUCUCUCUAAACUUGUAUGUGGUGACCUCAACUGUAGCUAUGUGUGAUGUUGUUGAUAAAUGUGUAAAUAUCAAGCACUAUUGGAUCAAGCGUUUUGUGAGCUUGAGUAUAUUUGCAUUUCCACAUAUUCAUUGAUUGUUCAUUAGGUUCUUUUCAUGCCAGGCUUUGAUAGGAUUUGGCAGGGUCAAUGCCAGAAAAACAUACAAUUCCUUAAAACUGUUGUGUUUGGCUGUUGGGUUUGUUAUGGUACAUCAGUAUCAUACCUUGCAAAGAAUUAUUGGAGGAAAUAGAGAAGAGAACCUGCUUUUCUAUUUUUUUUUUUUUAACUACUUUGAUUGCUGAGGUCAACGUAGAGAGAAGCAGGGUGGAUGAAAUAUUUGCUAGCACAGGAGCUGAAAUGCACGUGACUCUUUCUUGAAGUUGUGGUGCUGGAGUUAAUGCAAAAGGGAGGGCAUGCUUCUAAAUGUCCACAGCAAUACUACCAGGUUCCUUCAUGACAGCAAGUCAACCUUCGAUACUUGGAAAGUCUUGGGAAGAUCGAAAAUGUAGAUUUCUCAGUACUCAAUUGAUAGCAAGAUUGACAUGCUCUGAUUUCAAGCUCAGUAGACAUCUCCAAGACAUUGUGACCAAAUGAGAACAAAUGAUGAAGAUAUAAAAAUCUGAGCGUUUUUUCACUUGCACUUGGCAUGACUAGAGAUUGGGCUGUCUUUUGAAAUCAAAAUUUUGCGUUGGGCUCAACAUGGUUAAGGUGUCUGAAUAGCCAUUCUUUCAUUUCAACAAAGGGAUUUGAUGCCUUCUGCUUGCAAUAUCUUAGUUGUUUUGACUUCUUUUUGCUUCUCACGCAAAAAGAUUGAGGUUUGUUCCUUAAAGAAAAGGAGGUAGAUUAGCUCCUUAUUACUUGAGCCCUUUCUUCCCAGUUGUAACGAGUAGUCUAUUUAUCGGGGGUAUCAACCUCCUGGUAUGCUCAAGUAUGGUAAGAAAACUGGUAGUGAAUUCCCAGAUGUUUGUGUUGAUCUGAAGUCUGACAGGAAUGGCAAUUAAUUUAGAGAUGCAGGAUCAUGCUUGUUGC
This is a long non-coding RNA of Coffea arabica (coffee), 1892 nucleotides long. RefSeq lists it as uncharacterized. NCBI's taxonomy places the organism in Eukaryota, Viridiplantae, Streptophyta, Magnoliopsida, Gentianales, Rubiaceae. The record is from RefSeq and is a predicted model, not a curated record.